This is a long non-coding RNA of Helianthus annuus (common sunflower), 649 nucleotides long. RefSeq lists it as uncharacterized. The transcript has 2 exons. NCBI's taxonomy places the organism in Eukaryota, Viridiplantae, Streptophyta, Magnoliopsida, Asterales, Asteraceae. The record is from RefSeq and is a predicted model, not a curated record.
CCUCCCCAUAUUCUAACCAAACCCCAACUCUGUAACCAAACCACAACAGCUGCCAUAGACGACUUUUUAAAUUUCUUCAUAUUCCCCAAAGAAAAUUCAGCAAGCUCUUCAACCAAAUAUCUGUUCGCCGGAAGUUGCAAGUUCGUCGGAAUCUGGGUAAAGUCGCCGGAAGUUGCAGGCUCGUGGAUGGGGUGGGGUGUUUUAUGUUUAAAAAAAUUAGACACCAUCUCACUUGAGAUUGAUUGAUUGCUUGUUCUGAUUGAAGAUGAUGAUGGUUGAAGGUGAUGGGUUAGAAGAUGAUGAUGAUUGAAGAGGGUAGAUGAUGAAGUGAUGAAGAAAUCUGCAAAUGUGGGUUAAAAAGAAAUCAGGAUGAAGGGGGAGGUGAAAUUACCAUAUUACCCAUCAUGUGAAAUCCAUGUGACCAAGAAGUUAACCAGAGUUGGGGUUUGGUUAGAAUUAGGGGCCAAAAUGGUUAGGUAUAGGGACCAUGGGGGCAAAUACGUUAAAAAUUCUUAUUUUGGGCUAAUAUAGUAAAACUGACAUAACCACAGGGGCCAAAAACGUAAUUUACUCUUAAUGAGAGGAAUUAACAUGUGUUUUGCGUAUGGAAAUAAAAAGUCAAUAAAUGUAAGAAUUCUUUUAUAACCCU